UUUCCGUAGGUGAACCUGCGGAAGGAUCAUUCAUAAUAAGUGUUUUAUGGCACUUUUUUAAAUCCAUAUCCACCUUGUGUGCAAUGUCAGGGUUGAUUUUUCUCACGAGAGGAUCAGCCCCAAACAUCAACUAUAUCUCAACUCUUUGUCUGAAAAAUAUUAUGAAUAAAACAAUUCAAAAUACAACUUUCAACAACGGAUCUCUUGGCUCUU
This 213-nucleotide unclassified non-coding RNA is filed under the name plant metagenome. RNAcentral's name for it is "partial contains small subunit ribosomal RNA, internal transcribed spacer 1, and 5.8S ribosomal RNA". The record is from RNAcentral.